UACGUAGGGUGCAAGCGUUGUCCGGAAUUAUUGGGCGUAAAGAGCUCGUAGGCGGUCUGUCGCGUCUGCUGUGAAAACUCAGGGCUUAACCCUGAGCUUGCAGUGGGUACGGGCAGACUAGAGUGCGGUAGGGGAGACUGGAAUUCCUGGUGUAGCGGUGAAAUGCGCCAGAUAUCAGGAGGGAACACCGGUGGGCGAAGGCGGGUCUCUGGGCCGUAACUGACGCUGGAGGAGCGGAAAAGCAUGGGGAGCGAACAGG
This 259-nucleotide ribosomal RNA is filed under the name uncultured bacterium. RNAcentral's name for it is "partial 16S ribosomal RNA". It matches the Rfam family "Bacterial small subunit ribosomal RNA", at positions 524 to 776 of the family's 1533-position model. The record is from RNAcentral.